This 229-nucleotide ribosomal RNA is filed under the name uncultured bacterium. Its description in RNAcentral is "partial 16S ribosomal RNA". It matches the Rfam family "Bacterial small subunit ribosomal RNA", at positions 526 to 779 of the family's 1533-position model. The record is from RNAcentral.
CAAGAGAGACUAGCGUUUUUCAUCUUUAUUAGGUUUAAAGGGUACCUAGACGGUUUAUCUAGCCUUAAUAAAGGAAACGGAUUAAACUAGAGUUUAAUAGAAGAGGUAGAUUUAGUAUCGAUAGAGAAAAGAUGAAAUUUUUUAUACUUUCGAGACUGAUAAUGGUGAAAACAAUCCUCUAUAGAAUAACUGACGUUAAGGGACGAAGGCAUGGAGAUCGAAUAGGAUU